RNAcentral lists this ribosomal RNA (2064 nucleotides) under Klebsiella pneumoniae. RNAcentral's name for it is "partial 23S ribosomal RNA". It matches the Rfam family "Bacterial large subunit ribosomal RNA", at positions 146 to 2236 of the family's 2925-position model. The record is from RNAcentral. Lineage: Bacteria; Pseudomonadati; Pseudomonadota; Gammaproteobacteria; Enterobacterales; Enterobacteriaceae. RNAcentral also lists the same sequence under 1 other name.
CACUAUCGUUAACUGAAUACAUAGGUUAACGAGGCGAACCGGGGGAACUGAAACAUCUAAGUACCCCGAGGAAAAGAAAUCAACCGAGAUUCCCCCAGUAGCGGCGAGCGAACGGGGAGCAGCCCAGAGUCUGAAUCAGCUUGUGUGUUAGUGGAACGGUCUGGAAAGUCCGACGGUACAGGGUGAUAGUCCCGUACACCAAAAUGCACAGGCUGUGAACUCGAAGAGUAGGGCGGGACACGUGGUAUCCUGUCUGAAUAUGGGGGGACCAUCCUCCAAGGCUAAAUACUCCUGACUGACCGAUAGUGAACCAGUACCGUGAGGGAAAGGCGAAAAGAACCCCGGCGAGGGGAGUGAAAAAGAACCUGAAACCGUGUACGUACAAGCAGUGGGAGCACCUUCGGGUGUGACUGCGUACCUUUUGUAUAAUGGGUCAGCGACUUAUAUUCUGUAGCAAGGUUAACCGUAUAGGGGAGCCGCAGGGAAACCGAGUCUUAACUGGGCGUUAAGUUGCAGGGUAUAGACCCGAAACCCGGUGAUCUAGCCAUGGGCAGGUUGAAGGUUGGGUAACACUAACUGGAGGACCGAACCGACUAAUGUUGAAAAAUUAGCGGAUGACUUGUGGCUGGGGGUGAAAGGCCAAUCAAACCGGGAGAUAGCUGGUUCUCCCCGAAAGCUAUUUAGGUAGCGCCUCGUGAAUUCAUCUUCGGGGGUAGAGCACUGUUUCGGCUAGGGGGUCAUCCCGACUUACCAACCCGAUGCAAACUACGAAUACCGAAGAAUGUUAUCACGGGAGACACACGGCGGGUGCUAACGUCCGUCGUGAAGAGGGAAACAACCCAGACCGCCAGCUAAGGUCCCAAAGUCAUGGUUAAGUGGGAAACGAUGUGGGAAGGCACAGACAGCCAGGAUGUUGGCUUAGAAGCAGCCAUCAUUUAAAGAAAGCGUAAUAGCUCACUGGUCGAGUCGGCCUGCGCGGAAGAUGUAACGGGGCUAAACCAUGCACCGAAGCUGCGGCAGCGACACUAUGUGUUGUUGGGUAGGGGAGCGUUCUGUAAGCCUGCGAAGGUGACCUGUGAGGGUUGCUGGAGGUAUCAGAAGUGCGAAUGCUGACAUAAGUAACGAUAAAGCGGGUGAAAAGCCCGCUCGCCGGAAGACCAAGGGUUCCUGUCCAACGUUAAUCGGGGCAGGGUGAGUCGACCCCUAAGGCGAGGCCGAAAGGCGUAGUCGAUGGGAAACAGGUUAAUAUUCCUGUACUUGGUGUUACUGCGAAGGGGGGACGGAGAAGGCUAUGUUAGCCGGGCGACGGUUGUCCCGGUUUAAGCAUGUAGGCUGGUUGUCCAGGCAAAUCCGGAUAAUCAAGGCUGAGGUGUGAUGACGAGGCACUACGGUGCUGAAGUAACAAAUGCCCUGCUUCCAGGAAAAGCCUCUAAGCAUCAGGUAACAUCAAAUCGUACCCCAAACCGACACAGGUGGUCAGGUAGAGAAUACCAAGGCGCUUGAGAGAACUCGGGUGAAGGAACUAGGCAAAAUGGUGCCGUAACUUCGGGAGAAGGCACGCUGGUGUGUAGGUGAAGUCCCUGCGGAUGGAGCUGAGACCAGUCGAAGAUACCAGCUGGCUGCAACUGUUUAUUAAAAACACAGCACUGUGCAAACACGAAAGUGGACGUAUACGGUGUGACGCCUGCCCGGUGCCGGAAGGUUAAUUGAUGGGGUUAUCCGUAAGGAGAAGCUCUUGAUCGAAGCCCCGGUAAACGGCGGCCGUAACUAUAACGGUCCUAAGGUAGCGAAAUUCCUUGUCGGGUAAGUUCCGACCUGCACGAAUGGCGUAAUGAUGGCCAGGCUGUCUCCACCCGAGACUCAGUGAAAUUGAACUCGCUGUGAAGAUGCAGUGUACCCGCGGCAAGACGGAAAGACCCCGUGAACCUUUACUAUAGCUUGACACUGAACAUUGAGCCUUGAUGUGUAGGAUAGGUGGGAGGCUUUGAAGCGUGGACGCCAGUCUGCGUGGAGCCAACCUUGAAAUACCACCCUUUAAUGUUUGAUGUUCUAACGUUGGCCCCU